Neofelis nebulosa (Clouded leopard) is the source of this 584-nucleotide long non-coding RNA. RefSeq lists it as uncharacterized. NCBI's taxonomy places the organism in Eukaryota, Metazoa, Chordata, Mammalia, Carnivora, Felidae. The transcript has 3 exons. The record is from RefSeq and is a predicted model, not a curated record.
UGUGUGAAAAAUCAAUGGACACCCCAGGAAUGGAAGAUGGUUUGCAGACGUGUUACCUUGGAGGUACUGUUUGAACCAGAAAGCCUUCCUGUAGAACCAUACCGUGGGCCACUCAACCGACCCUUGGGUAAACUCUAACUGCUGUACCACCACAUCGUCCCUUAUCAGCUUGAAGAAGCCAGUAAGGUCAUCAUCCCUGUUCCCUAAUGGCAGUAAAGGUGGCCGAGGUGGGUCCCUAGAUUCACCACAGCAGAGUGAAGCCAGCAUCUCAAAACUGGGAGUUCAUUCCUGGUCUAUUAAGGCUGUGCAAGCUGACUAUACAGAAGAAGCAAUCUGCAACUCCAGAGGCUCUGGGAGACUGCAGCCCUGCUUUAGUUACUCUGGAAGCUGACGAAUCCACGCAUGGCAAAAGCCUGAGGAGUCGAUGGUCCGGUGGAACAAAUAGACUGUCCGUAUUUUCUGUAUCUGUUUCCUUAUUGUGAUGCGCUGUCACCCUGUGUCUCUCGCUGUUAUUGUGAUCCUUGCUCUACUUUUCACCAUAGGAUUGGCAGAGGCCACCCUGGCCAGCUGGGAGUGUGAUGAGA